CUACGGGGCGCAGCAGUGGGGAAUAUUGCACAAUGGAGGAAACUCUGAUGCAGCAACGCCGCGUGGAGGAUGACACAUUUCGGUGCGUAAACUCCUUUUAUAUAAGAAGAUAAUGACGGUAUUAUAUGAAUAAGCACCGGCUAACUCCGUGCCAGCAGCCGCGGUAAUACGGGGGGUGCAAGCGUUACUCGGAAUCACUGGGCGUAAAGAGCAUGUAGGCUGGUUUGUAAGUUGAAAGUGAAAUCCUAUGGCUUAACCAUAGAACUGCUUCCAAAACUACUUACCUAGAGUAUGGGAGAGGUAGAUGGAAUUUCUGGUGUAGGGGUAAAAUCCGUAGAGAUCAGAAGGAAUACCGAUUGCGAAGGCGAUCUACUGGAACAUUACUGACGCUCAGAUGCGAAAGCGUGGGGAGCAAACAGGAUUAGAUACCCCGGUAGUC
RNAcentral lists this ribosomal RNA (439 nucleotides) under uncultured bacterium. Its description in RNAcentral is "partial 16S ribosomal RNA". It matches the Rfam family "Bacterial small subunit ribosomal RNA", at positions 339 to 795 of the family's 1533-position model. The record is from RNAcentral.